CGUGUCCACAAAAGGUUUGACAAAAUGAAGCCUGUUUCUCGAACCUGUAAUGCUUGGCGGCUGGGCAGCUAGCCUCUUAGGAGGGUCUUUCCACCCUGGACUUUUUUGAGAAGUCUCCAUUUGCUUGUGACAGAUUGCUUUACCUUUGGCUGCUCCAAGAUGGUUCUAUUCAGCAACAAAGCAACUGUUGCUUUGUUUGUAUCGUAUGCAGCGCUAGCCGUUAAACAAUCGCAUGAUCCAGUUUUAGAACGCGAAAAACUGUUGGUUGCCGCAUACGAGGUAUAUCUCGCCCAGAAUAUCAGCUACGACUGCUUCCAAUAUGCAGAACGUAACAGUGUCGCUGAAUGCGACUGUUCUGCAUGUUUAGAAGCACAGCCUGACUUCGUGACGAGAAUGUGCACUUUCCGAAGAGCCAGGGCCCGUGUGUACGCAGACGCAAUCGACAGGACGAAGGUCCAAGCUAAAAACUGGAUGUGGAGAGCAAUAUGCAAUCCGAGGUGCCGUUUUCGCCUCCCAUCGACGUGUUGCGACCCCGUAGGGUCAAAACUGCCGAUGCAGGCCGGGUGUCCUACCUGUUUACCAACCGACAACUCUAUUUUUUCAGCCGACUUGAGAGGCCACCAUGUCUCGUGUCUAUUUGAAACGACGCACAAAACCCAAUCGUUUUCAGAAUCGAAUUGGUUUCAACGCUACCUGGUUGUCCUAGGACUCAUGGAUCAAGCCAAGCUGAGCGAUAAAUGCAUGCAGUAUGCUCUUCUUGGCAAGGCGGCUCCGUGUAAUUGCAGGUCUUGUCUCGGAUCCGAAGCGACCAGUCGAGCACUCCGCGAGAAGCUUUGCGAGUACGGACGAUUAGUACGCGCCAAGAAAGAACUGCACCGACCCUCUUUCUGGGCAGACAGCCACUAUUUAUUGAAAUUCUGCGACUUCUACACCUGUCCUGAGAUUCCACACGAGUGCUGCUCGUUAUACAGAAGUAAAGAAGUGGAUAGGAACGGUUGCCCAGUUUGUCUCCCUACAUCUAUCGUUAGCGAAUUCGGGCCCCGCUGUAGCGUCUGGGUCACUGGAUUACCCGAGAAAAUGCUAGAUCGUCUUAUAGCCCGUUUCGAAGUUUGAAACAUUUUCAGGCACCUCACAGGAUAACAAAUUCGAGAAAGGUGAAAAGACACAACGGAAGUAUCCUUUGAUUCCAAGGUAAUGCUAGAAGUUAGGGGUAAAAUAAACCUGUUUUGUUUCCGCUUCGUAUUUUAGCUAAACUGGACCAUUCAUUCAUGUGGCAAUACAAACUUUACGGUAAAUAUUUAGCGUUAGCAUAUUUACAUUUUGCCAUCAAGUAACAGACUUAGAUAUAAUGGUCACCUUUUAGGGGAGGGUCAUCGCGUAGUCUGGGCCUACUCAGAUAAGGCCCCCGCAAAUGUAACGAAGUUCGACUUAGAUUGCAUUUUUCAACUGUAUCUUUCCGGAGAUUAUUAAUUCUACAUAAGCUCCUUUAUUAGUCACAAUUUCAUAUCAUCAUACCGACUACGUUCUAACUAUUGUACCUUUAGAUAGUUUCCGCUUCCAAUACACGACUCUUUGGGACAGCGUCCUUAUUCAAUCUAGAAAUAAUAGAUCUCAAUUAAUUCCAACGUAAUUUUAAUAAAUUGAAUUUUGAUCUGAGCUGAAUUUUGAAAUGGCUAUAAGAUCAUUUAAGACACAGGGCUGCGGUAAAUUCCCGCGAUCAAGAAACACCCAGACGUGGUCCUUCGGGCAGCAGCUUAUCAGAUUGUCUCCGUAUUUAGGUCCCCACUUGAUAACGCAAUUGUCCUUAUACCAAAUGAUCACAAAGGGUAUCACAAAAGUUCAAAGUUUGCCAUACAGCAUAAAAUUCCAGAGUUCAAUCUAUUAAGGGAGCACCCAUAUGUAGCUACCGAUAUUGCAGUUAUUAGAUCAAUCUAUUCAAUCAUCGAUCUGUCAUGCGUCACUAUCAACAGUUUCUACCGCGAUAUGCUCAAACGAGAUGCGAUAUCGGUUCAUAUAAAAACCUAGCAGAUUACGGGAUUUCCCUUGCUUUGAUCCAGUCAAGUAGCUCAGUGGAAUAUAACUAGGGCUUCUAUAGAGAUGCCUCUGGACAAACAUUGCCGCGGAUGCCUUCCAAAAAAUGAUAAUUCUAAAAAAAAUAAUAAAAGGUAUGCGUAUAUCUAUAUAAUAUGAGGGAGGCCGAAUGGCAAUUAUUUGAGAAGUAGAAUCUAAACAGAGCUUUCCUGGCAAUUAAGCGGAUUUUCUUUGUUCCUCCUUUUACGUACUCUUGCUAAAACCUCUCCAUUUCUCAACAGCUACAAACCUCCCGCACGACGUCCAUGACCGAUCAUGUUAAAAAGAAGUUUCGAUGUAUACAUUUUGUCGUAAAAAAUGUUUAAUAUAUAAAAGCUCGCCGACAGCAGAGGAGGAUACACACAGAAUUGAAAACCAAAGAAUAGAUCUAGUCGAAUGUGAAUGUAUCUGAAAAGUCAUUUGACAAAAUCGUACAGGGAGCUAUUUUCGCUAUUGGGGCCUAGGGAACGUCUGCUAUGAGCCUUCGAAGGUUUUAGAAGGUCUGGUACUGUUUCCAGAAAAUUGUUUGCAGCUACGCCACACCCAGGUCUUCCAAAAUGUUGGUGACCUUCAAAAGCUUAGUCUUCAUAUUAUUCGUAUCGUAUUUUCCAGAAAAGUACUUAUUUAUAGCGUCUCACCCUCCUCCUAACCAUCAGAUAGGAAAUGUACUAUCAAUAUCGACUGUAUCUUGUGUGCAUGUUUUAGAUGUACACACUUUUACUAGUCUCUUAUUAUUUGUUGCUUUUAAAUUUUGUUUCAACAUGUCAAUUUGAGCACAUGGAAAGCUUUUGAUAUACACUUUUAUUAUUGAUUUACUUUUGGUCUGAAUUUGUAAAUGGACGCGCUGGCGGCAUUUUACAAAGUAAAAAGCGUGCUUAAAAAAUAAACGUAAUAACACUCGUCGAAUGAACAGGUCAAAUCGAUCGAGGAUCGGUAAAAGCCUAGUUUUCGACAAACGACUAAAUUUAGUUAGAAAAAUAGAAAGGUAUGUUACCCAAUGCUUUUACCAAUCAUUGUUCGUCUUUUCCCUUUACGUAUUAUCAUUUUUUCAUCAUACCUUUUUUUUUCUAGGUUUUUAUUUUCAAUUAAUUUCUAUAGACGUUUUAAGCUCGCUUGUAAUUAUAUUUGUUAUUUUACUAUCUGUUUUUACGUUUGGAGUUCACAUAUCCAGUUACGACUUUUCAUCCUUCACAUAUUGUUUAAUUGAUUGAAUAUCGAUAAUGUUGACUUCGAAAAUCAUCAGGUCUUCGUGCUUCAAUUCGGUUAUUAUUAUAUUAUAUUAAGUACAUAUAAUGGCGCCAAGUUUAUGAUCCGGAAUUAUGUUGAAAACGUACCUAUAUAGAGCAGUUAAAAAGCUUUUAGCUCAUAAACAAGUUCUGGGCAUGCAGAACAUGAUAGAAACUUACGUGACUCUCUGAUAUUUGUAUGUGUAACGUUAUCAGAUAUAGGAAUAGAAUUGUUUCGUGUGGAGACUGUAACGAGCAGGUAUUUUGUUGUAUACAGUUUAUUUUGUUAAUCUACGAUCCAAGUUAACUCGUCAGAGAUUUUUUACCACAGCCCAUGGCGUAGCUUCUGCACGGUAUCGGCGCGUAAAAAGCAACUAUACACUUUGGUUUUUAUUCCUUUUGCUCAGGUCUGCCAGUUCCUGAGGGCAUCAAUGCCCUAGCAAAUUUUUCACUUUUAAUUAACGAUUAUCUUUCGGAGAGCGUAAAAAAAUAUCGCCGAUGUUGUUUAUGAGGGAAAGCUAAAGGCUUCAGCUCUGCUUGACUCGUCGCCUGCAUAGAUACUCGAGAGUGAAGCUCUUAGAAUGUUAUAAGGCAUUCGGUUAAAUCUUUUCCCUAGGGGUUUCUUGGUGCCGCUUAGAUUAAGCCCUUACUCCAUCGUGUCACAUCUUUACUACAUCAUUUAAAAAGGCUUCAUAAGCAUUCUAUUAAUAUGUAAGAACCACAGCUGAUACCAGUGUUUUAGCUUCCCCAGCGAUUCUGCAGUAUUCUAAAAUAAUUUUACCAACCGUCGUAUUCGUUUGGCACAACCCUCUGUCUAUAUAUAGAGGGCCAUUAUGAACGUCUCAGAUGUCGGCGUCUCGGCAUGAUAAUAUUAAAUUAUAGCUAGCCGCUACGAACGACAAGUCAGAGAGAAAAAUGAUCGAGUAACAACUUUUUCAGCCCGUAGUACCGCUAAAUGGAGAGUUAGGUCGAGAGAGACCUGUCAGGCAACAAGUAGAAACUAAUCUGAAAUUCGUUAAAGGCUGAUUAGCAACUUCAUUGAUCUGAUUCGGUUGUGUGGAUGACGGUAAUUUUUUCGAUACCUAACCCUAUACAUACACAUGUAGUUCUCACUUACUUAUGGAAAGAGCUGAUUUCCGGAGUGUCCUCGCUCGAACAAAAUGGUUCCCUACGCUUCGUUCAAAUUUUCAUCUGAACUUUUCCGUUACAAAAAGAUGCCGUUUUAAACGUCACUCAUGAAAAACUAAAGGGAAACAAAUUUGAAUUGUCCUUUUUCUGCUUUGCAGUUCUCACUAUUGUUGAUAUAGGCACCCCUUCGUAUAACUAAAUCCUCUUGGGGCUUUGCGAGCACAGGCAAUCAGCACGUCUCGUAAGGGAACCAUGGCCAUCAAAUUUCCGGCUGGAAAGCGAAUAUCUCUUAUGAGAUUAACCUGACAAUUUUCUACAUGCAGUUAUAUUUAUUCGUACUACCGCUGUGUAUUGGAUACGCUGGUUAGGACGCAAAAAUGAGAGUGGGGAGUACGAAAAGAAAGGCUUCCGUUCUGAUGUACCGCAAUGCUAAAGAGGAAACAGGUCGACUUUUUCGUGCGAUCAGUCGAUUCCAUAGUUUUUUGCUCUACGGAGACAGCACGUAUUUCGGGUACAAUGUGGCGCACCGUAUCGUUUAAGCUAGUUUGCCAGCUGUUGAUAAGUAGCGUUUGAGCCUAAAUAGUAGUUUACCAAAUUCUGGUGAAUAUGAAGGCCAUGUUGUAUAGUUGAUUUGUCGUUUUUCCACUCUUACUAAAAACAAUGUUACCAGUUGCGUAGUCUCUUCCAUUAUUCAUGAUCUUUUUUGCCCCUCAAUAAUACGCUUAAGUCCUGAAAAGAUAAGUCUCAGGGCCCGUGCUCGUUCUAAACAGAAUCUUGCCUUCUGCUAAUCAUUCAGCAUACUUUAGAGCAACUACCUUUCGAUUUCCCAUAAAUUUCGUAACCGCAAAUUUUUCCCCUAUGCAAAUUUUAAAUGAUAAAACGUUGGCGCUACAUUUGGCAUCAUGAUUUAAUGAAGCCCCGCUCUAUGACCCCUCCGUCCAAUUUUUUUUCAACUUUUUUCCUCAUAGUUUGGAUUUGUACCGCACAGGGUAAAGACAAAAAAACGAAAGCUAAAAACCAGCUGAUUUAUAUACUUACGUUUGGAGUAUGAAAUCGUGUCGCGCUAAGUGAGACUCUGUGCGAAGAUUUUUAGAAUGAAUGCUUUAGUCUACCUUGAGGCAGUAUCAUUUUGUAGAUACAAGCGUUACGUUCUUCAUGCACUCCUUUGGUGCUUCCAGGUACUCUAUAAUUAAAGAUAUCUGGCAAAUGAUGCGGCGUUCUAUUUGAAAACGACAAUUACCUAACAGUUAGCUAGCGAUUCUACCUGAUUGGAAUUCUUUCUGUAAUGAAGAUGUUAAUCAGAAGAUUAUCCGUGUUCAGCUGCGCCAUAAUAUUCUGCAUUUACCGGUGUAUAGACUUGCUAGAUAUUAAAAUUUGCGGAAUACGAAAGUACCUGUACCCAAGUUACCUUUAGCGCUAUAACUAUGAUUCAUAUUUUUCCUGCGCACACUUCCAAGGAUCUCCAGCUAGCUGUCGAUGUAUUCACUAAACAGUGUUUCUUUUCCCUACCACUAACUGUUCUACUCAAAACUAUCUGAAGCCUCUUGAGCGUCACUUUCUGCCAUUGUUACGCCGUAACAGAGCGUUAACAGCGCUCCCAUAUAUAGGACUCUUCAUUGCAAUAGAGGAAAUGGAGGUUGUUCGAUUGCCUUUGCGAGUGCGAUCAAGAUAUCCUAUUGUUAUGCGGUGAGGCGUCAACAAAACGACAGAAGCGUAAACGAGCAGAGAGGUACAGUCCCUACAAAAGUUGUGAUCGGAGAGAUUCUGACAGCUGCUACUGUUUACGCAGUAUCGUGCCGAAAUACACUGCAGUAAAAGAAAGCUAUAUGCGUAAGCAACGAAAUCAAAAAUCAGUAUAUUGCUAUUCUACUAAUUUUUAUUGAUUAGAGUUGUUUAUCGUGUUAGACGCUGCCAGAACAUUUUUGUUUAUCGGGCCUUUCCGAAGUACUGACUCUCAGUUACCUACACAUACAUCUUACGCUAUUUGUGCCACGCGUGGCUUACCAUUUACGCAGAGGUAAACAACCUGUUUGUUCAACUAGGUCGGUAAUUAAUAGUGGGCUCAAUAAACACUUAGCACCCUCUCUUUAAAAAAAAUUAGAGGGUAAUUUCAACUUGGUGUAGUAGUCGAAACGAAGUUCUAGCAUUUCGUAAGUGGGCACUGUAAAUAGAUUAGGAUGGAAUAGGGAAAAAAUAGAAUUCUUGUGAUUUUCAAUAAGCAACGAUAACAUUGUUAAUAAUUAGCGUUGUAAUUUAUUAUGAAAACAAGCAUAUCUGCCCAUCUGAAAUAUCAAUACUUGAAUGCGCUUGACAUAAACUUGGCUUUGGAUAUUAGCGGUCGAUUUCGACAACAGCGGCCUUGUCAUGAAAGGCUCGUAGCUCUCUACUCCACAGAAACCUAUGCUUGGCCUGAGCCUCACCUAUGAAUAUUUCAUGUACAGGGAGACGACAGUAUACUUGAAUGUGGCCUGCUUAGCUCAGGUAAGCACAGCGCUUGAAGUUGUGCAAGCGAGAGACCGUUUGCAGAGAGUGAUGCGCUGGAACUCAACGGUGCGCGAUUUUAAUAAUGUGCAGAAGGAGAAAUGCGUCCUGAGAUGCAGCUGCUCUGAGUCAACUGUCGUAGAUAAGUUUGCUUUUUUUUGACGCUUUCGACUACAUGGACUAUGUGGACAAACCUUUCGAAUCACCCUCUUAGGGAUAGCGUCGAAAAAUUCGCUUCCGUUUAGGGCCUAACCAGAAUCGGGCUUCGCAAGAUAAAUCGAAAAUGGAUGUUUCACGUGUACCCCCAACACCCCACCGGCCAGUAGAGCUCAAUCAGGAUAGACUGUGCCCUUUUACGUAUUGGAGAGGGGAGUAUAUAUAUAUAUAUAUAUAUAUAUAUAUAUAUAUAUAUAUAUAUAUAUAUAUAUAUAUACUCCUAUAUAUAUAUCUAUCGGAAGACAAAGUCGGACUGGAACGCUUUCGAAGGCUCUCGCUUAUUAUAUGUUUUGUUUAUCCACAGCGCGUCUACCUCGUCACGAGGUGAAUCUAUUCAUGUCAAUGCGUUUUAGACGAGAGAUUUGCUAAAUACGUCGUAACUUUAAUAUAUAAUCAUUAGCAGUGCAUCGCACAUAGGGUGGCCAUGUAUUAAUUGUUUUCAUUUAUACAGAUACCACUGCAUCGACGAUGUUAGAGGACAUAUUAUAGAAAAAUACGAUGGCGCGAAAUCUGUCAUUUCGGUAUAGUUAUAUUUGAUCAGGGUGAAUAAGUACCUGUCUGACCCUUAUUUUUUUAUCUUACGUAUUGUAACUAGGACAAAACAAUGGCGGUAUUAUGUUGUGUGUAACAUUUACAAAGCUACUUAUAUUAACGGACGCUCUUAUUUGUAAAUACAGACGUUAAAAGGCAUUUUACUGAGGAAAUAUGCCCAAUUGGUCCUUUGUAUUCGUAGCUCAAAAUAAAUAGCUGAAUUCAUUCUCUGUUACUGUUUGAGUAAUGAUGAUAUUGCAGUCGCGUUUUGCAUGUACUAACGAAUGAGUAUGAUCAGUACUGACUCUAGGUAUUUUUUCAUAGGGCAUAUAUAACGCUGGUUGUCUUUUGUGUGCUGGUGCAUGCCAUCAGCACGUAUAUGCAGGUGUACACGAUGUUAAUUACACGAUUACGUUAAUUAACAUUACGUUAUUAUCUUAGGAAUAUCCAACUAUUGAUGCAACAGUGGCGCCACUAUAAAGGCUCGAUAUGCGUUCGGAUGUGCCGUUCUAAGGUAGGCAAACCCAUUUUUUAACUAUGGUCGACACGUAUUAUAUCUAAAGCCUCCGUUUCGACCGUUUCCCAUACGUAGAAAAAUGUUACAUCGCUAAUUGUAAUUGUUGGGAAUAUGCUAUCGACGUUGUGCGCCUAAAUGCACAUAAAGGUCACGGACAAACUAUUCGAAGAACUUGUUGAAGAAAAUACGUGACCCUAAGUCCAGCUCGCGACCUACAGCGAAAGCUUUUCAGGUAGUAGUGAGGAAACCGGAAGCACCAAGAAUAGCAGCCGACACGAUAGCAGACGACGCUAGGCAACAACAAAUAUUACUUAAAAUAAGCAUCUGAGAAACCUAUACACGGUAGCUGCGACAUGAGAUAUUGUAUGACAUUACGGACCUGAACGCAAUGUACGUUAUGCAAAUUUAUGCAUCGCGGAACAUCCUGGACAUCGUGAGACGGUGUCAUAACCAAACAUCUAUGAUUUUAGGCACGGUAAAUUCACUGUGUGACAUAAAACCAAGAGAGACAAAACGUCAUCCAUACCAUGGAAGCAUUUUCGUUUUCUGUCCUUACCAAAUAUUUUCAUAUCACUUUUAUGUAUAUCAUUGCUAAUUAAAGUAGAUAUGAGUGAGGUAGACAUGUCAGUUAUUUUGUGAAAAGUGCCAGUAGAAUAUUACAUAUUAUAUCUAUAUACGAGAAUUAGUACAGUCGCCAUAUAUUGCUAAGUGCCGGAUAACUCCGCAUGCCUUUAUAUGACUUAGGAGCGCUUUAGACUGCAGGUCACAACCACACAUAUACGGAUAUAUUUAUAUGGCUUAGGUUAAUUUGAGCCUUCGAAGAAUUUCUCGGGAUUUUCCACCCUAAUGGGUUUUCGGGUACCCUCCUCUCAGGCCCUCGCUGCCGGGGAUCACUUAGCCGUAAUCAGAGGCAUCUCUUUUGAACGGCACAAAGCUCCGACUAGAGAGGAGUGACACUGGAUAAACCUCCGUGAGUAGCAUAUGCUUGCCACCGAAACGAGCAAACUUACCAGAUUCAUCAAUAAAUGGAAGAGAACUCUUUGGUAACGUCCCAUUUGUUCACAUUGCAUCUUUCCUGUCGGACGCGAUGAUCUAAUCUAACCUAAUAACUAUAAUAAUAACAUUUAUCGGUAAUAUAAACAGCGAGGCUCAUGCAACAUAUAACAGAUUUUACAUGCUAAAGAAGGCUAGGUACAAGCAUAGGCAGUGCCUGCUGACGUCAAAGUUUAACUACGGCCCGCAACUAUUUUUCACACCGGUGCCUAUAGACGUAGAACAGUUAAUUCCAAAUACGUAUAGCCUGCGUCUGAAGUGUGAAUCAUCUUUUGUCAUGUCCAGCACGUACUGCGACGACCAUCAGAACUCACACCGUAUUUUAUCCCACAGUAUUAAGAAAACAGUCAGACUAUCUUUACUAUUUGUAGCCCUAAAAGCUAAAGCUAACGUUUCGAAAAUCAUUGAUGCAAAUGUACAACAAGAACUGAUAGUAGAUAAUUGUUUCGAAAGACUUUCAUCGACGUAGUGUUUAUGUGGUUGUUUGAAGAUAUACGGGUUCGAUCUUUAUGAAUUUAUUUUGAUCUGUCAGAGCUACGCUCACACACGCAGAGUCACACAUAAAAGCUUUCUAUAAAUUCUAAAUUAAUACGUUGCUCAUAGUUGUUUUCGUAGAUUUUCUACUUUUAACCAAGUACUUUAUUUAAAUAUAAAAAUCAUUAGCUUUACAAUGCGAUUUUAGAUCAAAGUAGGAAUAGAAAAGACAAUUAAUAAAGUAUAACCUUAUAGUGUAUGGCUUAAAUACAAUUGUACGCUGACGAAUGCACGGUCCUAUCUGUCAUUUACCAGCCCAAAAAGGAUACUCAUGCUCCUGUGUCUCACGUGUUUAAUGGUCUCCAAUAAUAUGCUCUCUUCGCAGUAGAUUUAACAUCUGAGAUAUGAGAAAUACUGCAGACAAGCUAUCUUUCCUGGGGUCAUCGCUUUUAUGGACAUCAAAUCAAAGCAGUUCAAAAAUCUGGUUCUACCUGUUAAUCAGCUCUGCCUUAGCCUUGCUCCCAAUCGACGCUUCUUAAACACCUUGUUGUCCUUAUUCUGGCCAACGUAUUCCUACGUCAUUCUGUAAUUUUGAUGGCUGGUCUGGGAUGUCACUGGGAUGUGAAUACUGCAAACCCCACAAGGCCGACACAGCAAAUAGUAAACUGUGUAGGAUUAGUCUCUCGAUUCUUAUAGGUCGGAUGACUGGUUAAGGUGAGGCAACCCUAAUGGCCGCUAGACACUGGUGUGAGUUUAAGGUCGUUCCUUACCACGCUCCAAAAUGGAAAGUCAGUAAAGUUAGCUUAGAAAUUGGAGCUAAUAAAUCCAUACAGACUAAGCGGUAACACCAAUAAAUGAAAGAGUGGGAUAAAUCCUUAGCCUAGGUUGGUCCGUCUUUCAUUUUAUCGGAUCCAACAUAUUUUACCAAAACUUCCUCAAAUAAGAGUCGAGAUGGAUACACCUUAAUUAGCCCAUUGAGUGGGUUAUAGACAAAUUAGUAAUCUGUCUGUACGGUCUGCUCGAUAAAUUUUGAGAGAGCAUAAUGAUCUAAGUUUGAAAUCCAACUUCGUUGCUCCGUGCAUGGAUUCAACGACACCUAGCAAAGUACUGGACGCGAGACUGGAUUCAUCAAAACAAUAAAAAAAAAAAAAAAAAAAACACUGGAAACUAUAAGUGAUAAUAUACCUCAUACAGCCUAGGUAUGAAGUACUAGUGUGUCGUAAUUUUCUUUCAAAGUCGACGGGAUAUACUUGGGGAAUAACUUGGAGUGGAUGCCCUUCGUUAUUUGUCUAUUUGUAAGUUAAGGCACUGACUAUGUGCAUGACUUCAAACCCCCCGCCCUAGCUAAUUAUAUAGGUAAUUAUACUGCAUGUGAAAGCGAUUCAAGCAAGAAGAUCGAUAUGUUUCGCAAUAGUUGCAAGAUAAUGAGUUUCUUGAUCCAGCCCGUGAACUGAAUUGUGCUACACCAUAGGCUCGCUGCCUUUCCCUGUUGCUACGAGCGCUAUGAGCGCGAACGAAAGAAUCCAACCUGUUUGUUCAUGUUAUUAUAGUCGUUUUAUUAUUACUCCAAAUGACAUUGUCCAUAUAUACGUAUAUAUAUACGGGCUUCGACACCACAUAGUGUUAUUAUGUAAUAUUCUUAUAGAUAGAUGUAUAGGGGAGAGGGUGACGUAUGGUCAUCAACAAUAAAUAUCAAUAAAAAACCGACAGUAAUCAACUUAGUCCGCUAUCUUCAACUGUGCCAUUUUUGCUUUGUUUGUCUGCGUUCGCUGUCCUUUAGGGUGAAUGAACAUCAUUAUUAUCAUCGUGGGGUAACAGUUCUUGUUAUUUUUGUUGCGGUUGGCGAUGUUAUCAUGGCGGCGGCGGUGGCGGCAGCAGCAUAAUCGUGAAGACAAUAUGAAGUCGAAACGGCUCAAUCCAUCCCGAUAGCUACUUCGACUCCUCUACCAUUUUUACUCCGAGCUGCUGUGGCUCUUCGUCCGGUGCCAGACGCAUUUUCAGACUGAUUAUGCUAAUAGUUACAACACGACGUGGUCCUAGUAGAUGUAAUAGUAUUAAUAAUAAGUAUCAAUAUGAAAACAAAUGAUUGCAGGUCAAUCUUCAUCUCCUCCAUAUCGGGUCGGCUAGCGGGUGUAAAAAUCAUAAUAUUACAUAUUCGCCUUUCGAUGCUGGGAGCCCGCCCAGAUCGGAGCAAGCAAACGCGCCCAUAAAUAGUCACGUUCUUGACGCAUAUAUAUAGCGCCUAUAGAUGACUCUGACAAGCAGAGGUUCGCACUUAUAGCCCGACAAGCGGGUGGGCCUAAUACAUAGCACAUGGAUAAACAUAGCACACAUUCGAAAAGAGACAAAUAACCAACGAGUAACAGGUGCACAAACUCACGGACUGCUAUACACUCGGCCGUAGUUUCGUCCCGUGCUAUAAGCGAAACCGCUGGUACUGAUGUGGGCGAUCAACAACGAAAGUUUUGCCAAGUUGAUUGUACAACAAUUGACUUAUAGCAGCCGAAAAUUGCUCGAAAUGAAAAGAAGGUAUGGAGAAUGAUGUUUUUUCUUGCGAAAAAAAAAAAAAA
Varroa destructor (honeybee mite) is the source of this 12266-nucleotide non-coding RNA. The record is from RefSeq and is a predicted model, not a curated record. NCBI's taxonomy places the organism in Eukaryota, Metazoa, Arthropoda, Arachnida, Mesostigmata, Varroidae.